This is a non-coding RNA of Homo sapiens (human), 148 nucleotides long. It matches the Rfam family "Metazoan signal recognition particle RNA". From Rfam's summary of the family: The signal recognition particle (SRP) is a universally conserved ribonucleoprotein. Lineage: Eukaryota; Metazoa; Chordata; Mammalia; Primates; Hominidae. The record is from Rfam.
GCUAGGUGUGGUGGCGCACACCUCUAGUCCCAGCUACUUGGGAGGCUGAGGUGGGAGGAUUGCUUGAGCCCAGGAGGUCAAGGCUGCAGUGAACAGCGAUCAUGCCUCUGCACUCCAGCCUGGGUGACAGAGCAAGACCUUGUCUCAA